Molecule: long non-coding RNA, 239 nt
Filed under: Gallus gallus (chicken)
Lineage: Eukaryota; Metazoa; Chordata; Aves; Galliformes; Phasianidae
Description: long non-coding RNA NONGGAT002819
Source: RNAcentral
AACCAUUUUAAGGCUGCAUUUGUACAUUUAGAUUUUUAAGCUUUUUUGGACACUGGACUGGGUUGAGAACUAUGUUGUGUUAAUUUUCAUUUACUCGUUUGCUUGCAGUUUGUGCCCCUGGCCGCCAGCUCUGCCUCUGGCGCAGAGGGCUGCAGUACAAUGCCUUGGGUGUGCGGUACAAACCGGCGUUGCACGCGGUGCCGGCCGCGUCCCGCUGCGUCUCCCCUGGCGCCCACCGG